UACAGAGGGCUCAAGCGUUGUUCGGAUUCAUUGGGCGUAAAGGGUGCGUAGGCGGCGCGGUAAGUCGGGUGUGAAAUCUCGGAGCUUAACUCCGAAACUGCAUUCGAUACUGCCGUGCUUGGGGACUGGAGAGGAGACUGGAAUUUACGGUGUAGCGGUGAAAUGCGUAGAUAUCGGGAGGAACACCAGUGGCGAAGGCGAGUCGCUGGACAAUUCCUGACGCUGAGGCACGAAAGCUAGGGGAGCAAACAGG
Molecule: ribosomal RNA, 253 nt
Filed under: uncultured bacterium
Lineage: Bacteria
Description: partial 16S ribosomal RNA
Rfam family: Bacterial small subunit ribosomal RNA
Source: RNAcentral